ACACCCGUUCCCAUGCCGAACACGGAAGUUAAGCUCUUCAGCGCCGAUGGUAAUUGGGGGAUCUCCCCCUGUAAGAGUAGGACAUCGCCGGGC
This 93-nucleotide ribosomal RNA is filed under the name Exobacillus caeni. Lineage: Bacteria; Bacillati; Bacillota; Bacilli; Caryophanales; Guptibacillaceae. The record is from RNAcentral.